This 370-nucleotide ribosomal RNA is filed under the name uncultured bacterium. Its description in RNAcentral is "bacterial SSU rRNA". It matches the Rfam family "Bacterial small subunit ribosomal RNA", at positions 917 to 1291 of the family's 1533-position model. The record is from RNAcentral.
GGGCCCGCACAAGCGGUGGAGCAUGUGGUUUAAUUCGAUGAUACGCGAGGAACCUUACCAGGGCUUAAAUGUAGUAUGACCGGUCUGGAAACAGACCUUCUCUUCGGAGCAGAUUACAAGGUGCUGCAUGGUUGUCGUCAGCUCGUGCCGUGAGGUGUUAGGUUAAGUCCUGCAACGAGCGCAACCCCUAUUCUUAGUUGCCAGCGGUUCGGCCGGGGACUCUAAGAAGACUGCCAGCGCAAGCUGAGAGGAAGUGGGGAUGACGUCAAAUCAUCACGGCCCUUACGUCCUGGGGCUACACACGUGCUACAAUGGUAUAGACAGAGGGCAGCCACCUGGCGACAGGGAGCGAGGACAAGCAAAUCCAUAA